GACGAACGCUGGCGGCGUGCUUAACACAUGCAAGUCGAGCGGUAAGGCCCUUUCGGGGGUACACGAGCGGCGAACGGGUGAGUAACACGUGGGUGACCUGCCCUCAGCUCUGGGAUAAGCCUGGGAAACCGGGUCUAAUACCGGAUAUGACUCCAUGACGCAUGUUGUGGGGUGGAAAGCCUUGUGCGGCUGAGGAUGGGGCCCGCGGCCUAUCAGCUUGUUGGUGGGGUGAUGGCCUACCAAGGCGACGACGGGUAGCCGGCCUGAGAGGGCGACCGGCCACACUGGGACUGAGACACGGCCCAGACUCCUACGGGAGGCAGCAGUGGGGAAUCUUGCGCAAUGGGCGAAAGCCUGACGCAGCGACGCCGCGUGCGGGAAGAA
RNAcentral lists this ribosomal RNA (384 nucleotides) under uncultured bacterium. Its description in RNAcentral is "bacterial SSU rRNA". It matches the Rfam family "Bacterial small subunit ribosomal RNA", at positions 28 to 412 of the family's 1533-position model. The record is from RNAcentral.